RNAcentral lists this ribosomal RNA (504 nucleotides) under uncultured bacterium. RNAcentral's name for it is "bacterial SSU rRNA". It matches the Rfam family "Bacterial small subunit ribosomal RNA", at positions 28 to 503 of the family's 1533-position model. The record is from RNAcentral.
GAUGAACGCUAGCGGCAGGCUUAAUACAUGCAAGUCGAGGGGCAUCAAGGUACACGAAAGUGUAUUGUUGGCGACCGGCGGACGGGUGAGUAAUAGGUAGGUAACCUACCUCAUACUGAGGCAUAGCUGGGAGAAAUUCCAGGUAAUUCCUCAUGAGGUUAUAUGACACAUGUGAUAUAAUCAAAGGUAUCGCAAGGUACUGGUAUGAGAUGGGCUUACUGACCAUUAGCUAGUUGGUGAGAUAAGAGCUCACCAAGGCGAAGAUGGUUAGGGGUUUUGAGAGAGAGAUCCCCCACAUUGGAACUGAGAUACGGUCCAGACUCCUACGGGAGGCAGCAGUAGGGAAUAUUGGGCGAAUGGGCGGGAAGCCUGACCCAGCCAUGCCGCGUGAAGGAAGACGGCCUUAUGGGUUGUAAACUUCUUUACUUAUGCGACUAACUAAGAUUUACGUAGAUAAUUACUUAUAGAAUAGUAGUACGAUAAGCAAAAAGAACGACCGGACCG